RNAcentral lists this small nuclear RNA (23 nucleotides) under Arabidopsis thaliana (thale cress). RNAcentral's name for it is "snRNA_15365". Lineage: Eukaryota; Viridiplantae; Streptophyta; Magnoliopsida; Brassicales; Brassicaceae. The record is from RNAcentral.
GAUCUAUCAGUUCGACGGAUAAG